CAGAAAAUAGUUUAUUUUAAAAUUUAAAGUUUGGAACUUUAAGAUGUUUAUUACUUUUUUGA
RNAcentral lists this transfer RNA (62 nucleotides) under Nymphon brevicaudatum. RNAcentral's name for it is "tRNA-Pro". The record is from RNAcentral. Lineage: Eukaryota; Metazoa; Arthropoda; Pycnogonida; Pantopoda; Nymphonidae.